Nematolebias whitei (Rio pearlfish) is the source of this 74-nucleotide small nucleolar RNA. RefSeq annotates it as small nucleolar RNA SNORD101. The transcript has a single exon. The record is from RefSeq and is a predicted model, not a curated record. NCBI's taxonomy places the organism in Eukaryota, Metazoa, Chordata, Actinopteri, Cyprinodontiformes, Rivulidae.
GUGUUGAAUGAUGAUUCGCAUUUUGUCGGAUACCCCUUCACUCUCCAAUGAGUGAAAACCUCUUUCUGACAUGC